UACGUAGGUUGCAAGCGUUGUCCGGAUUUACUGGGCGUAAAGCGAUCGCAGGCGGAUCUUUAAGUCGGAUGUGAAAGGUUGCAGCUCAACUGUAACACUGCUCCCUAUACUGGAGGUCUUGAGUAGCGGAGAGGAAGAGGGAACGACACGUGUAGCGGUGAAAUGCGUUGAUAUGUGUCGGAACACCGAUGGCGAAAGCACUCUUCUGGACGAACACUGACGCUGAGGUUCGAAAGCAAAGGUAGCAAACAGG
This 253-nucleotide ribosomal RNA is filed under the name uncultured bacterium. Its description in RNAcentral is "partial 16S ribosomal RNA". It matches the Rfam family "Bacterial small subunit ribosomal RNA", at positions 524 to 776 of the family's 1533-position model. The record is from RNAcentral.